GUUCAUGGUACAAUGCCCAGCUCCAUGUGCUUCCUGCACUGUUCCUAGCCAGGUUCUCAGCUCCUAAAUUGAAGUCUGCUGAAAUGUCCUUAAUCUUUGCUAUAUGGGCCUCCAAAGCCCUCUGCACCUUUCAGUGGAUCCAAAAGCACACUUUUGGGAUUGUAAGCAAGAAACAAAGAAAGAAGGAAAGCCAGGAAGUCAUCAAUCUAGGAAAAAAGUAAAAGUUUUAACUAUGGCUCCUCCCCACAACUGAUUAAAGGCUAACACAGCAGCUUGGCUGGAAAGACUGCUUCCCUCCUGAGCCCCAAGCCCAUAUCCAUGAAGUAUUGCUACUCAUAAAACAAAUCAAACAGAUAUAGAAAGAGACAAGAGCAAAAACAAAAAGCAGUCUGGUUACCAGUGCCAUUUCCAGUGGAGAGAAGAAUUUCAAGAAGGUAUGAUUAAUUACAGGUAUUAAGAGGUGAAUUAUAGCUACGGAGUUCUAAAUAGAGCCAGCCUGUUUGGCUUAAUUAAUGAUGGGAACAGCUGGGACUAUGGACAGAAAGGCUGAAGGAAUGGUAAUGGCUACUGGCACUUGACAUGACUAAGUGACAAAACAGGAUGUGAUUGUUGUUGUUUCCUUGCUUCAAGUCCUUUGGAGUCAAAAAGCUAGAAGGCAUCUUAAAGUUUAUUUGUUUCCAAGCUCAUACCUUAUUCAUCCUGACAUUCUAACUCACAUGUCACUUGCUAAAAUUCUUUAACAUCUAGAGGAUGACAAAUGCAUUAUAAGUUUGAUAUAAAAAUUGCCCCUUUAUGGCAUGGCAGCAGCAAGGAGAUGGGCCUGGAAUUCAGUUUCCAACAAUCACAGUGCCAACACAAUUGAGAGCCCCAGGUCCAGCUGGGGUUGGUUGUAUGCUUGUCACGAGAUUAGCAGUGAAAGCAUUUUAAACUGCUGACAGUGGAAUCCCAGGCAAUUUCUUUUUCUUCAUGCAGCAUUUGUUAACCUCAGUUAAUAUUCUAAAGAAGUAACAUGAUCCAGGUUUAUUUAUGUCUAUAAUCUGUUCCAUCAAUCUGUUAAAUCAUAUGUUUACAUUUCGAGUAAAGGCCCAAUUACUAAACUUUAUUCACCUCCUCCAGUGCAACUUUAGCAAGAAUUACUGCUGAUGGUACCUCAUGAUAUUUUAAAGUACACUGCAGUUAGGUUUCACACCACAGUAAGAUUCAAUCUACUGUUACUGAAGACCCACAAUAUUUAUUGCAACUUGACUGUGAAAAUUCCCAUUUAUUAAAUCUUUUAACCUGUAGUCCAGCAGCUCAUUUCUGCACAUUUCUGUGUGCUUACCAUUAGGUCAGCCAUCCAGUGUUCUCAGAAGUGGAUAAAUGCUUUGGAAUGCUCACAGGGAUGCAGUGCUGUCACAUAACAAUGCACACACACACAGAGGAUUUAAAGGCAGUGAUACAGGCUUGCAGGCAGCUUUGCCCUACAGCAGGGGCAGACAGUCCCUGCAGGAUCAGCACAAGGCAUUUUACUUGCUCACGCAUAUUUACAGAGCUUUAUAGGAGGUACUCAUGAAGUAAACAAGAUUAUUUAUCUGCAUAAAAUAAGCAUGCAUGGAACUCUUCAAAGCCUAUGGACUCAAGUUUCUGCCCACCUGUUCUCCAACUAAAUGUGUUGGAUUUUCACUACCCAGUCCCUUGCACAUGCCAUUUCUCUAAAGGCCCCUAAUUUGUAACGUGGAGUGUAAAAUGAUAUGUGCCUUGUUCACUGCAGAGAGAAGCAGUGAAAUGAACUUCCUCUAGUUAGGAGUUUUCAGCUUAAGAGAUGACUUUCAGUUCUCCCUUACACAUGUUCUGACUGUAAAACUCAUAAUGUAUCUUGGGAAGCUUCAGCGCCUGUGCUUGAGGUGUUACCACAAU
Long non-coding RNA from Passer domesticus (house sparrow), 1896 nucleotides. RefSeq lists it as uncharacterized. The record is from RefSeq and is a predicted model, not a curated record. The transcript is spliced from 3 exons. NCBI's taxonomy places the organism in Eukaryota, Metazoa, Chordata, Aves, Passeriformes, Passeridae.